Entelurus aequoreus (snake pipefish) is the source of this 1101-nucleotide long non-coding RNA. RefSeq lists it as uncharacterized. Lineage: Eukaryota; Metazoa; Chordata; Actinopteri; Syngnathiformes; Syngnathidae. The transcript is spliced from 6 exons. The record is from RefSeq and is a predicted model, not a curated record.
UCAAUGAUAUUUGCCACAGCUGUGGAAGGUGGAGGAGUGUUGCAGUGCACUUCAUUUGCACUUUAACUGACUUGUGAUGAGCAGCCUGCGGUCUGGUUUAUGGACUUAAUAUGUUUGUUUUUUUAACCCUAAUGUCCUAUCAAAUCUGACUACCGGAGAGCAGAUAUGUCACGUGGGGGUCGCAUCUUUAUGCGGGAUCGUUCCUCCAAUGCAACACGGACAACUCCGGGCGAAGGCGUAAAGAAUGUGCCAUCCUACGGCCAUCCCUGGACUAAAUAUGGAUUUGGGAUUCUUGGUCUGAGUAAACACCUGCAGCACGGACCCCUCUCGCCAGAGACACGCCCGGGUUUCUUUGCAUCAACAUCUGGCUGUUGGUGAAUUAUUAUGACGCAUCAUGCAGCGAUGGAGGCCACCUACAAUCAGCCGGAGCAGCGGUGGACCUUCACCUUAGACUUUGCGUUGGGUCGCACGUUACUGCAUGGAUCGUUCUCCCAAGAUGCAGACGGAACUCCGGAGGCAAAGUGCGGUCACAAAAACCGCAGCAUUGGAGUGGAGGUGCAUUAAAGCAAAUCAGCAUCUGAGGAGUGAGGAGAAGGAAAAAUAACACAUUAUUUUGUCAGACUCGCUUUUCAUCUCCCUCCAAAGUGGCCAAAAGGUUCACUUGUGUCCCGCAAACAAUUUUCUCCCACUUAACGGGGUGCCACUUCCUCUCUGUUCUUCUGUCCUGUUCCUGCCGCUCUCUGUCUCCAAAGAAAAAAAAAGAAAAAAAGAAGAAGCAGAGUGACAGCCAUUUAUUUGAGCAUCGGACUCAAUUUAUGACUGCGGCCCGCUUUGCAUUCACGCUGGACCGUGCGCCUUAAAGGCUUUGUGACAAGGCCAUGAAUACGCUUAGUGGCUCCUCACUCCUUGUUUCUCUGCGCUUGGAUGGACACUGAUACUGAUAUUAAAUGAAUUCUGCAAAGUGUCACUCACCAGACUCAUGCUGCGACACGAGAUGCUUCAGCCUUCUGACAUGUUAAUGUGUGUGACCAAAUUCUCACUGGGAGGGACUGAUUUAUUUGUCGGUUUAUUGAUGACUUGUUUUAUCGUUUAUAAAAUAUA